RNAcentral lists this long non-coding RNA (2297 nucleotides) under Mus musculus (house mouse). RNAcentral's name for it is "long non-coding RNA chr12:86909762-86912059". The record is from RNAcentral. Lineage: Eukaryota; Metazoa; Chordata; Mammalia; Rodentia; Muridae.
GUCGGCUCCACUAAAGAGUCCUCCUCCAGAGCAAUCGUUCACUGGAACCUCAAGAACCCCGUAACUCUCUUGUGAGUUCUUGUACUUUGUUAUGAGUUUUGUGAGCACCCUCUGUUGUAUUUUAUAAAAAGAGAAGAAGGAUGAAUAUGUUUGGUGGAGGCCCAGUAUGGUGUGGGGGGAAGGGGGUGCCUCUGUGGGCCCAUGCUGAGGCAUCCAUUUCCCCUAAGGGACCAGCCACGUGAUGGUAUAGUAUAGAAUAGAGCUUAUUUAGGGUAUGGGGAGGGAAGUUGAGAGAGUAGAGACAGAAAGGCAGGGGGGGGGAGGGAGGAGGGGGAGAGAGAGAGAGGGAGAGAGAGGCUGGUUAUGAGCAUGUGGAGAGGGGGAGAGGGGGAUGGGGAGAGAGAAGGAAGAGGGUAAGGGAGAGUGUACUGUAGUCACAAUGGAAGCAUGACAGCUUGCAGGCAGACUUGUUGCUCGAGGAGGAGCCGAGGGUUCUACAGCUUGGUCUGCAGGCAGAGAGGAAGAGACUGCCACACUGGGCCUGGCUUUGAGCACUUUAACAAGGCCACAUCUCCUAAUAAUGCCACUUCCUAUGAGCCAGUGGGGGCCGUUUUCUUUCAACCACCACAGGAUCCUUCUAUCCCUGCCUCCUUUGUGCUAAAAUUACAUGUGUCACCAUGCCUGGAUGCAGUUUUAAAACACCCAUCUUGUUUAUUUGUUUGUUUGUUUGUUUAUUUGUUUAUAACAGCCAUCUUAUUAAUUAUAUUUGUGUGUGUGCACGCACACACAAACACCACACACAGGUGAUGUGCACUCCAUGGUCAGCUUCAGAGAGUCUCCUGUCUCCACUUCCAGGAGUGCUGGAAUCACAAACACGGGCUACAAGUCUGGCUUUAUGUGGGCUCCUCAGAAAUGAACAUCAGUCUGCAGUCACACAGCCUUGCAACACUUCUUUUCUUUCUCUCUCUUCCUUCCUUCCUCCCUUCCUUCCUUUGUUUCUUUCUUUCUGUUUCUCUCUCUCUCUCUCUCUCUCUUCCUUCCUUUCUCUCUCUCUCUUCCUUCCUUUCUCUCUCUCUCUCUCUCUCUCUCUCUCUCUCUCUCUCUCUCUCUCUCUCUUUCUUUCUUUCUUUCUUUCUUUCUUUCUUUCUUUCUUUCUUUCUUUCUUUCUUUUUGAGACAGGGUUCUUCCAGGCUGUCCUGGAACUCACUCUUUAGACCAGGCUGGCCUCGAACUCAGAAAUCUGCUUGUCUCUGCCUCCCAAGUGCUGGGAUUAAAGGCGUGCACCACCACCCCCUGGUCCUCUUUUGGUUUUUCAAAACUGGGUUUCUCUGUAUAGCCUUGGCUGUUCUGGAACUUGCUCAGUACACCAGGCUGGCCUUGAACUCAUAUAUUUGCCUGCCUCUGCCUCCUGAGUGCUGGGACUAAAGAUAUGUGCCACCACACCUAGUUUGCAAUGCUAUUUUUUUAAAAUUUUAUGUGCUAUACAUAGUUAUAUUAAAAAUUUUGUUUUAAAUACAAAGGUGCAAUGACAAGAGAAAAAAAUUGCCAUCCUUUUAUUGCCUUGAGAAGAUUGGAGGAAACCUGCUGAAGGAGGAAAAGGGCCUCCUUCCUCCCUCAAAACUGCCACUGGUGGCUGGGGUCGCCUGUGAUUUGGGCUCUGUUCUGCUGGCAGGGUGGAGCCUGUCAUCUGGCCCGGACAGAAUUAUUGCCUCCAAUUACAUGGUUGAUUAUCAAUUACUUGUGUCCAUGGGAGAGCAUGUGUGCAUGUGUGCAUAAGUGCCUUUGCAGAUCAUUAAAGGUCGUAAUUCUGGAUUACCAUUGAUUAACGAGAGGGAGGCCUGGUACCUCCAGCAGCCGGCAUGGCAGCCCCACAAUUACGUCCCAGCUGAUCGGUAAUUGGUGCAUCACGAGAUGAUUUUUCUCUCAGCUGCCUCCUCCCAUCUUCUCCUGCAGGCUCCGCAAUUAGCACUAUUGCUCAUCUCUUCCCAGCCCAGGCAGAAUUCAGAGGGCUGCUUCCUGGCUAGGAGAGGCUGUGGGGCUGCAUGGAAGACCCUGCUCCCAGGCAGGGUGCCAGAUAGCCGGGUGGGGGGAGCUGGCGCAUGCGCUAUGGUGGGGACAUGGGACUGGCAAGAGCUGUCUGAGAUCCAAAGCUGUCCCCAUUGUCUUGUUCAAGCAAGUAGGACCCUCAAUUCUCCACCCCAGAGCAGGAAUGUGAAAUAAUAGAGACCUGAGGAAGGGAAGUAGCGCUUUGGGGACUCGUCCUCAAACAAUAGUCUGUACUAGUACAGCAGAGGAGG